RNAcentral lists this ribosomal RNA (253 nucleotides) under uncultured bacterium. RNAcentral describes it as "partial 16S ribosomal RNA". It matches the Rfam family "Bacterial small subunit ribosomal RNA", at positions 524 to 776 of the family's 1533-position model. The record is from RNAcentral.
GACGAACCGUGCGAACGUUAUUCGGAAUCACUGGGCUUAAAGCGCGUGUAGGCGGGACGGCACGUCGGUCGCUGAAAUCCCCCGGCUUAACCGGGGAACUGGCGUCGAUACGACCGCCCUGGAGGGCGUAGGGGGACCUGGAACUUCCGGUGGAGCGGUGAAAUGCGUUGAGAUCGGAAGGAACGCCCGUGGCGAAAGCGAGGUCCUGGACGCCUACUGACGCUGAGACGCGAAAGCCAGGGGAGCGAACGGG